GACGAACGCUGGCGGCGUGCUUAACACAUGCAAGUCGAACGGAAAGGCCCUGCUUUUGUGGGGUGCUCGAGUGGCGAACGGGUGAGUAACACGUGAGUAACCUGCCCUUGACUUUGGGAUAACUUCAGGAAACUGGGGCUAAUACCGGAUAGGAGCUCCUGCUGCAUGGUGGGGGUUGGAAAGUUUCGGCGGUUGGGGAUGGACUCGCGGCUUAUCAGCUUGUUGGUGGGGUAGUGGCUUACCAAGGCUAUGACGGGUAGCCGGCCUGAGAGGGGGGCCGGCCACAUUGGGACUGAGGUACGGCCCAGACUCCUACGGGAGGCAGCAGUGGGGAAUAUUGCACAAUGGGCGGAAGCCUGAUGCAGCAACGCCGCGUGCGGGAUGACGGCCUUCGGGUUGUAAACCGCUUUCGCCUGUGACGAAGCGUGAGUGACGGUAAUGGGUAAAGAAGCACCGGCUAACUACGUG
Molecule: ribosomal RNA, 468 nt
Filed under: uncultured bacterium
Lineage: Bacteria
Description: partial 16S ribosomal RNA
Rfam family: Bacterial small subunit ribosomal RNA
Source: RNAcentral